GGUUCCAUAGCUCAGCUGGAUAGAGCAACUGCCUUCUAAGCAGUAGGUCAUUGGUUCGAAUCCAAUUGGAAUCA
RNAcentral lists this transfer RNA (74 nucleotides) under Bacteroidales bacterium. RNAcentral's name for it is "tRNA-Arg". It matches the Rfam family "tRNA". Rfam says of the family: Transfer RNA (tRNA) molecules are approximately 80 nucleotides in length. Their secondary structure includes four short double-helical elements and three loops (D, anti-codon, and T loops). Lineage: Bacteria; Pseudomonadati; Bacteroidota; Bacteroidia; Bacteroidales. The record is from RNAcentral.